UUGCUCUUCAACGAGGAAUCCCUAGUAAGCGCAAGUCAUCAGCUUGCGUUGAUUACGUCCCUGCCCUUUGUACACACCGCCCGUCGCUACUACCGAUUGAAUGGCUCAGUGAGGCUUCCGGACUGGCCCAGGGGAGUCGGCAACGACACCCCNAGGGCCGGAAAGCUAUCCAAACUCGGUCAUUUAGAGGAAGUAAAAGUCGUAACAAGGUCUCCGUAGGUGAACCUGCGGAGGGAUCAUUACUGAGUUUUCAACUCUCCAAACCAUGUGAACUUACCACUGUUGCCUCGGUGGAUGGUACCUGUUCUUUAGGUGCUGCCGCCGGCGGACCAAUAAACUCUUGUCAACUAUUGUCAUUCUGAAUCAUAACUAAGAAAUAAGUUAAAACUUUCAACAACGGAUCUCUUGGUUCUGGCAUCGAUGAAGAACGCAGCGAAAUGCGAUAAGUAAUGUGAAUUGCAGAAUUCAGUGAAUCAUCGAAUCUUUGAACGCACAUUGCGCCCAUUAGUAUUCUAGUGGGCAUGCCUGUUCGAGCGUCAUUUCAACCCUUAAGCCUAGCUUAGCGUUGGGAGACUGCGCUAAACCGCAGCUCCUCAAAACCAGUGGCGGAGUCCUCUCGUGCUCUGAGCGUAGUAAUUACUUUAUCUCGCUUCUGCAAGUACGGUGGUCGACGGCCAUAAACCGCACCCUUCGGGGGCACUUUUUUAAUGGUUGACCUCGGAUCAGGUAGGAAUACCCGCUGAACUUAAGCAUAUCAAUAAGCGGAGGA
Molecule: ribosomal RNA, 769 nt
Filed under: uncultured fungus
Lineage: Eukaryota; Fungi
Description: eukaryotic LSU rRNA
Rfam family: Eukaryotic small subunit ribosomal RNA (bases 1-242)
Source: RNAcentral